Potamilus streckersoni is the source of this 73-nucleotide non-coding RNA. The record is from the annotation of a GenBank genome assembly. Lineage: Eukaryota; Metazoa; Mollusca; Bivalvia; Unionida; Unionidae.
GUUCCGGUGGCCUAGUGGUUAGAGUGCUUGCCUCGUUUGCUGGAGGUAGCGGGUUCGAUCUCCAACCGAAUCA